CUUGCAUGGCGUCUCCAAGGGCCUCUUGUGUCAUGCCAUUCAUCAAGUAGCACAAGCAGCGCCUCGCAAACACAGUCGGCGAUACCACUGUCCCGCUAUCAAUGAACUAUAUGACAAGACACAGUGUUUUGUUAAAACUAUGAGGCCCACGGUUGA
Molecule: long non-coding RNA, 156 nt
Organism: Hibiscus syriacus
Lineage: Eukaryota; Viridiplantae; Streptophyta; Magnoliopsida; Malvales; Malvaceae
Exons: 3
Source: RefSeq, a predicted model, not a curated record